This 1229-nucleotide unclassified non-coding RNA is filed under the name Hevea brasiliensis (rubber tree). Lineage: Eukaryota; Viridiplantae; Streptophyta; Magnoliopsida; Malpighiales; Euphorbiaceae. The record is from RNAcentral.
AAAAAAAAAAAAAAAAAAAAAAUCUAAUGCACAGUCAAUUAACAUUUCAUUUUUUGAAGGGGUUCAUGGGACUUUAUGCAAAUGGAAGUUCAUUUUUCACUUCUCACAGCAUCUGCUAUUAUUCAAGGACAAUUGUGGACGAGUGAAAGUGGCAUCUUCAACAAGUUUUGGCAAUGACUUUACUGAAGGCCAAAUUCAUGCUGGAUGUUACUUGUGAAUGUCAAUCUUCAUUAGAGGCAAAUUUCCACAAUUCAUUCUUGAGGACAAGAAUGGUUUCAAAGGGGAGGGUAAUGUUGUGACUAAAAGUUCAGUGUUACUGAUUAGUUUGAAAGUCAGUUAGUCAGUUAGAAGCUAACUGUAAUAUUGAAUGGCGGGAAUUGUAUUACUGAAGAUAAAUAGAGUGUUCUGUACAUUGAAGAAUUCAUUGAUCAAUAAUAAAAGAAUCUGUUUUCUCUCUUUAAUUUCUCUCUCUCUAUCUUUCUAUUCUCUCCCUAUCUUCUAUUCUCUUAUCGAUACUUCUUUCCUUUCUUCUUCUGCCCUCUUCUUCUCUUCCUCCUUCUUCCAAUUCUUGUUCAAUCAUGGAGAAUGAGCCAUCAGGUUGGGUGAAUGAGUCUAUAUCCUAACAACUUGGUAUUAGAGCAGUUCGAUUCAGAGGACCCUAACAGAUCUGAAAUUGGCGAGAAAAAAAAGCAAGGGAUGGUGUUGCAAGGGCAGAAUGUGGCAUUGCAACUUGAGGGAUGCAUGCAAUCCUUGGAGAAGAAAUUUCAAGAUUCGAGUUAGGAAUGGCGUCAAGAACUGCAUGCAUCGAGCAUUAGGAAUCACGAAGAUAACUUGGAGCUUUUGCAGAAAAUGAUCAAAUUAUGGAGUUUUUUCAAGCUUCUCAACCAAAAGUCCAUAAUUCUGAGGCAUCUUGGAGUGAGGAUCGUGAAUUGAGAUUACCAAUUCAAGAUGGUAAAACAGUUGAUUUCAAGGAGAGAAAUGGGUACAAUCUUGAACAAAAAUAGGAUAAGAAAUUGGUCUCUAUUUGGUGUGACCUUUCAUUCAAUCCAACUCCUUCUGUUCAAUUUAAAACUCAAGGUGACAGGGAUAUUGAUGCAAACUUCAAGAACGAUGCUUUGAAACCCAUGAACAGGUUUGGUUUAUAAUCCCAAGAAAGUCAAAAUCAAGUUCAAACACAAAAAAAUACCUUGACCUAUCAAUCAUAUUGAAUUGAAAACCAAGAUAAUUCA